Molecule: long non-coding RNA, 643 nt
Filed under: Panax ginseng (ginseng)
Lineage: Eukaryota; Viridiplantae; Streptophyta; Magnoliopsida; Apiales; Araliaceae
Description: long non-coding RNA (PGIN_LNC005943)
Source: RNAcentral
UCAUGAGAUGGAUAACGAUUGAAAGUGAUUAAAACCUUGAGUAAAGGUUGAAUGAGUGAUUAAGAGAAGAGCAACGUGAACGUUGAAUACGUAAACGAUCCUCGUGAAUCGUAUUCACGUCGGACGAACGUUCCAAGUAUACCCUGGUUGUAUGACGUAGACGUAGACGUUGACGAAGGUAGUAAAUAAGAUAGGAAUUAUCGAGAAAGCCGUAACGAACGGUAAUAAGAGUAUUGAAAGCCGAAUGUGAGUCUGAUAAGAAUGAAUCCUGAGGUAUGGUAUUUAAUUACCAGAAAGCUAUAAGGAAUGAGAAAUUGACUUAGCGAAUAUUAUAGUUUAAUAGUUCAGAUAAGUUAAGAUAAGUUAGGUUGUGGUACGAUCGUAACCUUUGAUGGUUGACAUAUGGGAGCUGGGCUAAACAAUUCCUUCAGAGAGCGAAGGUAUAUACAAAACUGGCUACCGAUCUAACUCACUGUGAUGGCAGUGUAGACGAGACGGGAACUUGUUUGUUGGUUGUUUGUGGAAAACCACUCAGAGUACCAUAUGGACUACUAUCAGAGAAGCGAUGUGUGCUGAGUCCUAGAGAAGUUAUAAGAAGAAGAUAAGAAUGUAAAACAUCAAAGAUGAUGAACGUAUAAGUAAG